CUCUUGCUUUCGGCGUCACUAGAGCGACACAUGCGGCGGUCUUUUUUUCUACUUACAGCAGCACAACUCGAGUUGGUGAAGUUGUCGAUUUCAUUCGUAUUUUGUGAAUACGCUCACAAAAGCCAUGGAAGUAGCCACUGUACCGCGCACGAGGCGUCUAUUGAAGGAGGAAGACAUGACCAAGAUCGAGUUUGAGACCAGCGAGGAGGUCGAUGUUACUCCUACUUUCGACACGAUGGGCCUACGAGAGGAUCUCCUCCGUGGGAUAUACGCAUACGGAUUCGAGAAGCCUUCCGCAAUCCAACAAAGAGCAAUUAAACAGAUCAUCAAGGGUAGAGAUGUCAUUGCACAGUCUCAGUCAGGAACAGGAAAGACUGCCACGUUUUGCGUAUCAGUGCUGCAGUGUCUUGACAUUCAGGUGCGUGAAACCCAGGCACUGAUCCUGGCUCCUACCAGAGAGUUGGCUGGACAGAUACAGAAGGUGCUCCUGGCCCUAGGUGACUACAUGAACGUCCAGUGUCAUUCCUGCAUCGGAGGGACAAACGUGGGUGAGGACAUCCGCAAACUGGACUAUGGCCAGCACGUGGUAGCAGGGACCCCUGGGAGAGUGUUUGAUAUGAUCCGCAGGAGGAGUUUGAGGACGCGUGCCAUCAAGAUGCUGGUGCUGGACGAAGCAGACGAAAUGCUCAACAAGGGUUUCAAAGAGCAGAUCUACGACGUGUACCGGUACCUGCCCCCCGCCACCCAGGUCUGUCUGAUCAGCGCCACGCUGCCCCACGAGAUCCUGGAGAUGACCAACAAGUUCAUGACCGACCCCAUCCGCAUCCUGGUCAAACGUGAUGAGUUGACUCUAGAGGGCAUCAAGCAGUUCUUUGUGGCAGUAGAGAGGGAGGAGUGGAAGUUUGACACCCUGUGUGACCUGUACGACACCCUCACCAUCACGCAGGCGGUCAUCUUCUGCAACACCAAGCGGAAGGUUGACUGGCUGACUGAGAAGAUGAGGGAGGCCAACUUCACCGUUUCCUCCAUGCACGGAGACAUGCCCCAGAAGGAGAGGGAGUCCAUCAUGAAAGAGUUCCGGUCCGGCGCCAGCCGAGUGCUUAUCUCCACUGAUGUGUGGGCCCGAGGUCUGGACGUGCCCCAGGUGUCCCUCAUCAUCAACUACGACCUGCCCAACAACAGAGAGCUGUACAUCCACAGGAGCUUCGGCUUGUCAGGGCAACGAUUUACUGGUGUUUUUGUCCCUCAACCUCCUCUCUUCAUAGGAUUGGCCGAUCGGGCCGUUACGGCCGCAAGGGUGUGGCCAUUAACUUUGUGAAGAACGACGACAUCCGUAUUCUCCGUGACAUUGAGCAGUACUAUUCCACACAGAUCGAUGAAAUGCCAAUGAACGUGGCUGACCUGAUCUAAGGCGCUGGUGAUGGAAGUGGAGAGACCGCUUUGAUUACACUUUGGACCCCUUUUUAUUUACUUAGAAUUCUUGUCUCAUUUGUUUUGUUUUUAAUAGUAGCUUUGGAACAGCCUUUGAAUUUGUGAUGACUAUUGUAUUCUAAGGGAAAUGCCUACUGCAACCAUCAGUUGUUUUGUAAAUAAAGAACAUUUUGUUUCCCAUUUGAA
Molecule: RNA transcript, 1617 nt
Organism: Salvelinus namaycush (lake trout)
Lineage: Eukaryota; Metazoa; Chordata; Actinopteri; Salmoniformes; Salmonidae
Gene name: eukaryotic initiation factor 4A-III
Exons: 12
Source: RefSeq, a predicted model, not a curated record